UUUUUUAUGCCCCACCUACGAUAGUAGAGGGGCAUUAUGUUUUCUGGUCUGUGCGUCCGUUCGUCCGUUCGUUCGUCCGUUCGUUCGUCCGUCUGUCCCGCUUCAGGUUAAAGUUUUUGGUCGAGGUAGUUUUUGAUGAAGUUGAAGUCCAAUCGACUUCAAACUUGGUACACAUGUUCCCUAUGAUAUGAUCUUUCUAAUUUUAAUGCCAAAUUAGAGAUUUUACCCCAAUUUUACGGUUCACUGAUAGAAAAUGAUAGUGCAAAUUUCAGGUUAAAGUUUUUGGCUUCAGGUUAAAGUUUUUGGUCAAGGUAGUUUUUGAUGAAGUUGAAGUCCAAUCAACUUGAAACUUAGUAUACAUGUGCCCUAUGAUAUGAUCUUUCUAAUUUAAAUGCCAAAUUAGAGUUUUGACCCCAAUUUUACGGUUCACUGAACAUAGAAAAUGAUAGUGCAAAUUUCAGGUUAAAGUUUUUGGCUUCAGGUUAAAGUUUUUGGUCAAGGUAGUUUUUGAUGAAGUUGAAGUCCAAUCAACUUGAAACUUAGUAUACAUGUGCCCUAUGAUAUGAUCUUUCUAAUUUAAAUGCCAAAUUAGAGUUUUGACCCCA
This 605-nucleotide long non-coding RNA is filed under the name Mytilus galloprovincialis (Mediterranean mussel). The record is from RNAcentral. Lineage: Eukaryota; Metazoa; Mollusca; Bivalvia; Mytilida; Mytilidae.